CGCCUCACCUGGCAGCAGGGACUUUGUCUCCUUCACCCCUACAGCCGACACCCCUAAACCCGACUGCUCAGGCAGUCACCCCCCAAAGGAAGGAAAGAAACCUAAGUCCCUUGGAGAACUCGAGGCACUGAUAGGUUCAAAAUCGUGGAGAAGUAUCCUGAUUCCUAGAGAUUCAUGGGGACCAACAGAUGGAGUCCAGGAAGUAGGGUUUAUACAAACGUGAGUGUCCUAUUAGAUAUUCCCAUGAUGAUGGGGUGGGGGGGAUGGGAGGUGGU
This 275-nucleotide long non-coding RNA is filed under the name Canis lupus familiaris (dog). RNAcentral's name for it is "lncRNA (ENSCAFG00845017534.1)". Lineage: Eukaryota; Metazoa; Chordata; Mammalia; Carnivora; Canidae. The record is from RNAcentral.